CACGUAGUUAGCCGGUGCUUAUUCUUCAGGUACCGUCAUUAGAUGCAGAUAUUAGCCGCACCCGUUUCUUCCCUGACAAAAGAGCUUUACAACCCGAAGGCCUUCUUCACUCGCGGCAUUGCUGGAUCAGGCUUGCGCCCAUUGUCCAAAAUUCCCCACUGCUGCCUCCCGUAGGAGUCUGGACCGUGUCUCAGUUCCAGUGUGGCUGGUCGUCCUCUCAGACCAGCUACUGAUCGAUGCCUUGGUAGGCCUUUACCCUACCAACUAGCUAAUCAGAUAUCGGCCGCUCCAGGAGCACAAGGCCUUGCGGUCCCCUGCUUUCAUCCUUAGAUCGUAUGCGGUAUUAGCGUAACUUUCGCUACGUUACUCCCCCACUCUUGGGUACGUUCCGAUAUAUUACUCACCCGUUCGCCACUCGUCAGCGGAGCAAGCUCCCUGUUACCGUUCGACUUGCAUGUAGUAAAGCAUGCCCGCCAGCGUUCAAUCUGACGCAGGAUAA
Molecule: ribosomal RNA, 499 nt
Filed under: uncultured Massilia sp.
Lineage: Bacteria; Pseudomonadati; Pseudomonadota; Betaproteobacteria; Burkholderiales; Oxalobacteraceae
Description: partial 16S ribosomal RNA
Source: RNAcentral